UCUAACAUUUAAUCAUUCGUUUUAUUUGAAACUAUUUUGCGAUUAAUAUUUUUAUUAUUACUAGAUAAUAAAAUAUGAAUAUUACUUUAUACGUGACUAAUUUUUUUAGAUUUUUGUAUAAUUUUUUUAAAUAAGGUAAAUGGUCAAACACAGUUAAAUAUGGAAAAAC
This 169-nucleotide microRNA precursor is filed under the name Oryza brachyantha (malo sina). RNAcentral's name for it is "MIR812 microRNA precursor family". It matches the Rfam family "MIR812 microRNA precursor family", at positions 27 to 190 of the family's 205-position model. Lineage: Eukaryota; Viridiplantae; Streptophyta; Magnoliopsida; Poales; Poaceae. The record is from Rfam by way of RNAcentral.